Molecule: ribosomal RNA, 460 nt
Filed under: uncultured bacterium
Lineage: Bacteria
Description: partial 16S ribosomal RNA
Rfam family: Bacterial small subunit ribosomal RNA
Source: RNAcentral
CCUACGGGGUGCAGCAGUGAGGAAUAUUGGUCAAUGGACGAGAGUCUGAACCAGCCAAGUAGCGUGAAGGAUGACUGCCCUAUGGGUUGUAAACUUCUUUUAUAUGGGAAUAAAACGUUCCACGUGUGGGAUUUUGUAUGUACCAUAUGAAUAAGGAUCGGCUAACUCCGUGCCAGCAGCCGCGGUAAUACGGAGGAUCCGAGCGUUAUCCGGAUUUAUUGGGUUUAAAGGGAGCGUAGGGGGAUUGUUAAGUCAGUUGUGAAAGUUUGCGGCUCAACCGUAAAAUUGCAGUUGAAACUGGCAGUCUUGAGUACAGUAGAGGUGGGCGGAAUUCGUGGUGUAGCGGUGAAAUGCUUAGAUAUCACGAAGAACUCCGAUUGCGAAGGCAGUUCACUGGACUGCAACUGACACUGAGGCUCGAAAGUGUGGGUAUCAAACAGGAUUAGAUACCCCUGUAGUC